Long non-coding RNA from Gallus gallus (chicken), 1903 nucleotides. NCBI's taxonomy places the organism in Eukaryota, Metazoa, Chordata, Aves, Galliformes, Phasianidae. The record is from Ensembl.
CUCUACUUUUCUCUUCCUAGUGAGGGUCUUUUGUUAUUUAUCAGCUCCUUUCAAAGCAACAACCUAAGAGAUUUCACAAUACUUUUCACAUAUGGUUACUCAGCCUGGGGCUCUCCACAGCUUAGCUGUUUCAGUGAUAUUUGCACAGCACUGAGCAACAGCAUUCCUGACCUGCAGGAGAAAACCAAAGGCAAACUCGUGUGUGUGUUGUCAUCCAAUGCAUGGCCAGAACCAAAGGCAAACUCCAUUUGGGAGGUGAGCAAGGAAAACCCCUCCAAAACAGCCAGGAGCUGAAAAGAUUUGGCAAGCUUUGCAGGAGAAAACUGCCAGCAGGGAAAGACGAGGUGGAGGCAUUACUCUGACAGAAGAAGCUCUGAUUAGCAGAUUAUCACUUAAGUGAUGUUGAUCCCAGCCACGCUGCCUUCCAAAUGAGCCCUUUCACAGCUGCCAGCUGCACCACGGAGUCGUGAAUGUAAAUGAGUGGGCCAGAUCCUCUGCUGGCAUCCAUCGACGUGGCUUUGAUGGACCGUCCUGGAUCUACAACAGCCGGAGGAGUGUGGCUGUCAUGGGAGCCUGACUUGCUAUGCAGAUUUCUUUGAGAGCCUGUGGGAAAGGGCCUGAAGCUGGAUGUACUGCAGGAUAGGGCAGCAUCAACUGCACAGCUGGAGGGACCCUUGAGACUUUGACUUUUGCUGCCAAACAAAGCCAUCUUUUUGCUGAGCUUGUAAACUGUUCCCUGGUACCGUACGCCAGCAUAUAGCAUCCUGCCCUCAUAAAGCUCUACUUAUCUCCAUCCAACUUCUUGGGCUGAGCGUGUGGGAAGCAUGUGAGGGACACUCAUGAGCAGCCUCGCAUUCUCCGAGCUGUGCUUUCCCCUGGGGGUGAGCAUUCCCCUAAGUGCACAGUCCAUUUCAGCUCUGAUAAGUCUUCAGAGGUGAUGGCCUGAAACCUGCAGAGCUGGUGGUGAGAAGGCAUACUUGACCUCUGGCCACGUCCAUCCAAUCUGACAGACUGGUCUUCGGAGAAUGGUGACCAAGAAUAAGCUCCAUGUCCCACAUGCCACCUGUUCAUCUGCACCGCUCCCUCUCCAGCAGCUCAUGGGCCGUGCCCAGCCUAUGUGUGACACCUCUCUGGCUGCUCAGAUGGAAAGUAAGAGCUUGGAGAGUGAGGACAGCAUGGAGUUAUGGAAGACAUGGCUACAAGACCAUUCUUUCUCCAUCUCCAUGUGCUUCUGAAGGACCAGUCUGAUUCUGGCUCCUGCCAACUUAGGAUAUGCUAUGAUUCUGUGAACACUUUUUGCAGCAAGUCAGCCAUAAGAAACAACAUACUCUCAGACAAUCAAGCCUCCAAAUUAAGAUGGGGAGCCUUGUUGUGAAGGAGAUGGGUUUUUUUUUCCUACUGUAGAAGGGAUGUUCAAUGCUAUAGUGACAAGGAACAAUUCUUCAGCCUUAGACAGCAGAAAGAAGAAACAUAAAGAGACUGUACAGUUCUUGGGACACCGAGACAACUAUCUACGUGCUUUGUGGAAGCAGAGACAAGUAUGAGAUUUGGCUUUCUGGGCUAUGAGGGCACACAGCUGGCUCACAUCCAGCUCCCAUCCACCAUUUAGAUAAGAUACUAUUGCUUUUAAUAAAGACAAGUCAAAGAUCUUCUCCUAAGUGCUCUUAAAGAACUCCAGCAUUGUGUCUACAAUAAUCCAUCCGCCUUAAAGGAUCCAGCAGUACAUCACCACCAGUGGAUAUAAGAAGUAAUUAGUCAUCAUUUAGGGAAGUAAGAUUUAACAGUUAUUUUGUUGGCAGAAGUGCCGUGAUAAAAAUGGUACUCUGAAAGUUAUUUGGUAUUUCUCAUUGUUGCCAGAGUUCUGAACAUUUUGAUAGGAUGAAAAUAGACUUCGGUAGGAAAG